This 164-nucleotide ribosomal RNA is filed under the name uncultured bacterium. RNAcentral describes it as "partial 16S ribosomal RNA". The record is from RNAcentral.
GUGAUCGUCGCAGCCUGAUCCAGCAUGCCGCGUGAGUGAUGAAGGCCUUCGGGUUGUAAAGCUCUUUUACCAGGGACGAAAAGGACAGGGGUUAAUACCCUUUCUACUGAACGGUCCCUCUGAAUAAACCACCGGUUAAUUCCUGGCCACCGCCCCCGUAAUAA